UACAGAGGGGGCAAGCGUUGUUCGGAAUUACUGGGCGUAAAGGGCGCGUAGGCGGCCUUCUAAGUCGAACGUGAAAUCCCUGGGCUCAACCCAGGAACUGCGUCCGAUACUGGAAGGCUUGAAUCCGGGAGAGGGAUGCGGAAUUCCAGGUGUAGCGGUGAAAUGCGUAGAUAUCUGGAGGAACACCGGUGGCGAAGGCGGCAUCCUGGACCAAUACUGACGCUCAGGUGCGAAAGCGUGGGGAGCAAACAGG
This 253-nucleotide ribosomal RNA is filed under the name uncultured bacterium. Its description in RNAcentral is "partial 16S ribosomal RNA". It matches the Rfam family "Bacterial small subunit ribosomal RNA", at positions 524 to 776 of the family's 1533-position model. The record is from RNAcentral.